GGAAAAGAAACCAACAGGGAUUGCCUCAGUAACGGCGAGUGAAGCGGCAACAGCUCAAAUUUGAAAUCUGGCCUCUUGGGGUCCGAGUUGUAAUUUGUAGAGGAUGUUUCGGGUACCGCCUCGGUUUAAAUUUCUUGGAACAGAAUGUCAAAGAGGGUGAGAAUCCCGUCUUGGACCGGCGGUAGGGCCUAUGUGAAACUCCUUCGACGAGUCGAGUUGUUUGGGAAUGCAGCUCAAAAUGGGUGGUAAAUUUCAUCUAAAGCUAAAUAUUGGCCAGAGACCGAUAGCGCACAAGUAGAGUGAUCGAAAGAUGAAAAGCACUUUGAAAAGAGAGUUAAACAGUAUGUGAAAUUGUUGAAAGGGAAGCGCUUGCAACCAGACUUGAGCGCGGCGGUUCCCCCUUGCUUCUGCUUGGGUUACUCCGCCGUGUCCAGGCCAACAUCGGUUCUGGGGGUCGGUCAAAGGCUCUGGGAAUGUAUCUACCCACGGGUAGACUUAUAGACCAGGGUGUCAUGCGACCUCCCGGGACCGAGGAACGC
RNAcentral lists this ribosomal RNA (539 nucleotides) under Fonsecaea monophora. Its description in RNAcentral is "LSU rRNA". It matches the Rfam family "Eukaryotic large subunit ribosomal RNA", at positions 55 to 598 of the family's 3401-position model. Lineage: Eukaryota; Fungi; Ascomycota; Eurotiomycetes; Chaetothyriales; Herpotrichiellaceae. The record is from RNAcentral.